This is a non-coding RNA of Taeniopygia guttata (zebra finch), 1919 nucleotides long. Lineage: Eukaryota; Metazoa; Chordata; Aves; Passeriformes; Estrildidae. The record is from RefSeq and is a predicted model, not a curated record.
CAAAGGGAGAAGAGCAAGGAGGGAAAGGCAGUGCCAACUUGCAGAUUUGUAAAAGAGGCUUUUAAGCUCUCUAGAGGGGUAACUUGCAACUGCUAAAUAUACUUCAGGAGAAAUACAGCCAGAUCAUUUCUUUCCUCAGCCUCGCUACAACUCUUUGUGUUUUUCCUCUUGAGAGGGGACAGGGAUGCAGCAUCGGCAGGGAGGAACAAUGGGUUUGGUCUAUUUGCUAUUAACUCCACCACAUGCCUAAUCAAGGAUGUUUCCAGUUCUCCUGUCUCAAUCCAUAGGGAAAAAGAAUUGAGAGGGAAAGAUGUGGAAAAGGAAAAAUGAAGGGUUUCUGUGCGUGCAGAGGAAGAUAUUUUGACAGGAUGCGUGAUGGUGACUAAGAAAAGAGGGGAACAGGCAAGUGUUAAAUGAGUUUGUGUUCCUGGCUGCUGAGUAACCCCAGGAGGUUCCCAGCAAGGCUGCCGCUUUUUUAUUGGAGUUUUGUGCCGGAGUUAUAAACCCUUUAAAUGAGCCUAGAUCAUUAGGGAAGCUUGGCUGAUCACUGAUGAAAAAAUAUAACAAUUAAAACAAAGGGCUGGAAGAGGGAAGCAGAGGGAGAAGGAGCUGGGGGUGAGCAGUUUUAAUACUUAAUAACAAAUACUAAUAAUGGUGCUGAAUUGGGGACUAAUUAAAAGUUUCUAAAAAGAGAGAGGAAGAGAGUGGGAUUAAUCUGGAGUGUUUUGUCUGACAGCUUCUGUGAGUGCCUGAAAUGCUACCCUGGCAAGGAAGAUGAGACACAAUGCUGGGGGCCAAGCAAAGCUCUGAAGAGAGUGGAUCUGAGCUGUGGUGGAGCCCGGCUCCACCUGCUCUUCUGAGCUCUGUGUUUUGGUGUCUGCCCCGUAUUUCAGGAUUACCAAUGGUCAUUCUCCCACAUGGAGCAAAGGAGCUGGGGAAGAGGAACAAAGAAAUGAGUUUGAAGGGUGGAGAGAGUAAAAUUCUUCUGUGAAAAAGAGAAGAAGAGCAAAUAGACCUGGGUGGCAGCAGCAUGGAUCUGAGAAUUGUGAUGUAGUGACAACCACAGCCAUGGCAGGAGCCAAGGAAACAGCACCAGGAAAGACCAGAGGUGGCAACAACUCAAGGAGCCACUGCCAUGUAGCUUUGCAGGGCUUGGAAGAGCAUUCAGAGGAAGAACUGCUGCAUGCUCUCCCUCUGGCUGUGCUGCUCUCAGCUGGAGACACCGUGGCAGAUCAGAUGGUUUUCCUUGGCUGUUCCGCCACCAUUCCUUCUACCAGUGCUGUGUCCCAGUGCACCUUUAACCCCGCAGAGAUUAAUGCUCCCAAAAGCAAUAUUCCCACAGUUCAGCAGCUGCCUGAGGAACAGUUCAGCCUGGAGGAACAUUUUUUGUGGGUCAUCUCAGCUAAAUGCUUGCAGACACCACCACUGCCACCUCCCAUGCUUCAUCCUUGUGGAGAAAGGACCUGGCUGUGGGGAAUGCCAGCCUCAGACACCAUGCUCCUGCCAGCAUGAGCUCCUUCUACUUCCUCAUCAGUGCAGGCGACUCUAAGUUUUAAUUAUUAUUGCUUUUUGCUGUUCUUAGUCUUAAUUAAGUCUGACUUGCUGACUGUUUCAAGGGAGUUGAUGUCUGGGAAACACCUUCCUGCCUUGAGUUUUGGAUUGUGGAAGGAGAGAUAUGGAACCCAGUGCCACUGGAUCAGCAAGGCAGCAGAAAUGCAACAUCACAGAGACUGGAGGUGCUGUGGGACUGGGCCAAAGCUCAGUUAAAAUGGGACAAUCCACCUAGGAAUGAACAUAGAGAAGGAAAGCCACAGGGAUGUGUGCCUGGCAGGUAGAACAGCUUUCCCAGAAAAUUCCUCUGUAUUAAUCUACUUGGAUUUGACUUAGAAUCAGAGAUUGAUUAAAGUUGGAAAGGACCU